AAGAAGACUUAUCGAAGCUGCUAACUUUGAUUUGGGAGUAUACAUCUUCCUCUUCUAU
This 58-nucleotide transfer RNA is filed under the name Bulla sp. TLT-2006. RNAcentral describes it as "tRNA-Ser". Lineage: Eukaryota; Metazoa; Mollusca; Gastropoda; Cephalaspidea; Bullidae. The record is from RNAcentral.